UUCCAGAGACAAGUCGCAUUAAGGGGAACAUAUGGCAACUAUAAAUAAUGACAAACCUACAUUGGCCAGCAUUGUCUAAUAUUAUUUUUCGGACUUAUGCAGAAUUGCCGAGGUUUAGGUUUGCCCAAUUCCGUAAUGAGUUCAGACGUGUGGUAGCCGAUCUUAUCUGAAAACAGACUUGUCUGCGUGCACCUUUUCCCUGUCUUAAUUUACCAGCUAUGUUAUGUCCCAUCACUUUCUGUAAACAUAUUCAACAAUGGCAACAACUUUGGUUAAAGGACUUAAUAAAUCGAAUAUCUGAGUGCAGAAAGCUGCUAGAAAGAAGCCUGGCGCCUUGGCAAGUGCUUCAACGACGGCGCCAAUUACAUGAAAGUGAAUGAAGCCAAUUAACCAUCGAGUGAAGACGACUUGAAAUGAAAGACCCUCAGCCAAUGAAACAGUUCCUUCACCAGAGGGUGGUCCGUCAUAUGAUGUUAUAUAUGGGUCGACACAAGGAUUUCUGGAAGGAGUUCUAUCAGCUAUCACUGUUCCAAGGUGUGGUGAUUGUUACCAUCGUCAUCAUCACCAAUGCCAUGAUUAAUCAAGACGAAUAAUAAUGACAACUUGGAGAACUACAACAACCAACAAAUCAAAGAUGGCAGUGAAACAUUUUAAUCACAUAUUUAUGUAUUUUUUUGUAUUGCAA
This is a long non-coding RNA of Oncorhynchus nerka (sockeye salmon), 685 nucleotides long. RefSeq lists it as uncharacterized. The transcript has 3 exons. The record is from RefSeq and is a predicted model, not a curated record. NCBI's taxonomy places the organism in Eukaryota, Metazoa, Chordata, Actinopteri, Salmoniformes, Salmonidae.